AGAGUUUGAUCAUGGCUCAGGACGAACGCUGGCGGCGUGCUUAACACAUGCAAGUCGAGCGGUAAGGCCCUUUCGGGGGUACACGAGCGGCGAACGGGUGAGUAACACGUGGGUGACCUGCCCUCAGCUCUGGGAUAAGCCUGGGAAACUGGGUCUAAUACCGGAUAUGACUCCAUAACGCAUGUUGUGGGGUGGAAAGCCUUGUGCGGCUGGGGAUGGGCCCGCGGCCUAUCAGCUUGUUGGUGGGGUGAUGGCCUACCAAGGCGACGACGGGUAGCCGGCCUGAGAGGGCGACCGGCCACACUGGGACUGAGACACGGCCCAGACUCCUACGGGAGGCAGCAGUGGGGAAUCUUGCGCAAUGGGCGAAAGCCUGACGCAGCGACGCCGCGUGAGGGAUGACGGCCUUCGGGUUGUAAACCUCUUUCAGCUCCGACGAAGCGGAAGUGACGGUAGGAGCAGAAGAAGCACCGGCCAACUACGUGCCAGCAGCCGCGGUAAUACGUAGGGUGCAAGCGUUGUCCGGAAUUAUUGGGCGUAAAGAGCUCGUAGGCGGUCUGUCGCGUCGGCUGUGAAAACUUGGGGCUCAACUCCGAGCUUGCAGUCGAUACGGGCAGGCUAGAGUUCGGCAGGGGAGACUGGAAUUCCUGGUGUAGCGGUGAAAUGCGCAGAUAUCAGGAGGAACACCGGUGGCGAAGGCGGGUCUCUGGGCCGAUACUGACGCUGAGGAGCGAAAGCGUGGGGAGCGAACAGGAUUAGAUACCCUAGUAGUCC
Molecule: ribosomal RNA, 774 nt
Filed under: uncultured bacterium
Lineage: Bacteria
Description: bacterial SSU rRNA
Rfam family: Bacterial small subunit ribosomal RNA
Source: RNAcentral